Non-coding RNA from Hymenopellis radicata, 79 nucleotides. The record is from the annotation of a GenBank genome assembly. Lineage: Eukaryota; Fungi; Basidiomycota; Agaricomycetes; Agaricales; Physalacriaceae.
GGCGCUAUAGUGUAGUGGCAGCACAUGGGAUUCUGAAUCAAACAUUCCCAUAACCCAGGUUCGACCCCUGGUAGUGCCU